Molecule: ribosomal RNA, 253 nt
Filed under: uncultured bacterium
Lineage: Bacteria
Description: partial 16S ribosomal RNA
Rfam family: Bacterial small subunit ribosomal RNA
Source: RNAcentral
UACGUAGGAUGCUAGCGUUGUCCGGAUUUACUGGGCGUAAAGCGCGCGCAGGCGGCACUGUAAGCAAGGUGUGAAAUCUCCCUGCUCAACGGGGAGGGUGCACUUUAGACUGCAGAGCUAGAGGACGGUAGAGGGGGGUGGAAUUGCUGGUGUAGCGGUGAAAUGCGUAGAGAUCAGCAGGAACACCCGUGGCGAAGGCGGCCCCCUGGGCCGAACCUGACGCUGAGGCGCGAAGGCUAGGGGAGCGAACGGG